UACAGAGGUGGCAAGCGUUGUUCGGAAUUACUGGGCGUAAAGGGCGCGUAGGCGGCCAUCUAAGUCAGACGUGAAAUCCCCCGGCUUAACCUGGGAACUGCGUCUGAUACUGGACGGCUUGAGUAUGGGAGAGGGAUGUAGAAUUCCAGGUGUAGCGGUGAAAUGCGUAGAUAUCUGGAGGAAUACCGGUGGCGAAGGCGGCAUCCUGGACCAUUACUGACGCUGAGGCGCGAAAGCUAGGGGAGCAAACGGGAUUAGAAACCCUGUAGUCC
Molecule: ribosomal RNA, 272 nt
Filed under: uncultured prokaryote
Description: partial 16S ribosomal RNA
Rfam family: Bacterial small subunit ribosomal RNA
Source: RNAcentral